Molecule: long non-coding RNA, 199 nt
Filed under: Lathyrus oleraceus (garden pea)
Lineage: Eukaryota; Viridiplantae; Streptophyta; Magnoliopsida; Fabales; Fabaceae
Description: Pisum sativum (pea) long non-coding RNA (PSAT_LNC035563)
Source: RNAcentral
AUCCACUGAUUUCAAUUCUUGCCAUCGAACACUAGAAGCUUAGUACUUAGCUUCUUGUUUUCGUUCAUCUUCAACCUUGUGCAAAUCACUCAAGUCUCACCAAACAUCUGUGUUUCCCAAUCCCGCAUAAUCAAGAAAUGCGAUUUUGUUACUAUUCUGAAUUCAACAUGAAUUCAAGAAACAAAAUCAAUCACACAAC